This 476-nucleotide ribosomal RNA is filed under the name uncultured bacterium. RNAcentral's name for it is "SSU rRNA". It matches the Rfam family "Bacterial small subunit ribosomal RNA", at positions 26 to 518 of the family's 1533-position model. The record is from RNAcentral.
AGGAUAAACGCUGGCGGCGUGCCUAACACAUGCAAGUCGAACGGAAAGGCCCGCUUGCGGGUACUCGAGUGGCGAACGGGUGAGUAACACGUGGGCAACCUGCCCUCAGCUUCGGGAUAACACUUGGAAACAGGUGCUAAUACCGGAUAAUAACCUUUCAUCGCAUGGUGUGGGGUUCAAAGUUUUUCGGCUGGGGAUGGGCCCGCGGCCUAUCAGCUUGUUGGUGGGGUAAUGGCCUACCAAGGCGACGACGGGUAGCCGGCCUGAGAGGGCGACCGGCCACACUGGGACUGAGACACGGCCCAGACUCCUACGGGAGGCAGCAGUGGGGAAUAUUGCGCAAUGGGCGGAAGCCUGACGCAGCGACGCCGCGUGAGGGAUGACGGCCUUCGGGUUGUAAACCUCUUUCAGCUCUGACGAAGCGAGAGUGACGGUAGGAGCAGAAGAAGCACCGGCAACUACGCGCCAGCAGCCGC